Molecule: ribosomal RNA, 253 nt
Filed under: uncultured bacterium
Lineage: Bacteria
Description: partial 16S ribosomal RNA
Rfam family: Bacterial small subunit ribosomal RNA
Source: RNAcentral
GACAGAGGGUGCAAACGUUGUCCGGAAUCAUUGGGCGUAAAGCGCGUGUAGGCGGUUUCGUAAGUCUGCUGUGAAAGUCGGAGGCUCAACCUUCGAAAGCCGGUGGAUACUGUGAGACUUGAGUACGGAAGAGGAGAGUGGAAUUCCUGGUGUAGCGGUGAAAUGCGCAGAUAUCAGGAGGAACACCAACGGCGAAGGCAGCUCUCUGGGACGUUACUGACGCUGAGACGCGAAAGCGUGGGGAGCAAACAGG